GACGAACGCUGGCGGCGUGCCUAAUACAUGCAAGUCGAGCGAACCAAUAAGAAGCUUGCUUUUUGUUGGCUAGCGGCGGACGGGUGAGUAACACGUGGGUAACCUGCCUGUAAGACCGGGAUAACUCCGGGAAACCGGUGCUAAUACCGGAUAGAUUAUCUUUCCGCCUGGAGAGAUAAGGAAAGAUGGCUUUUGCCAUCACUUACAGAUGGGCCCGCGGCGCAUUAGCUAGUUGGUGAGGUAACGGCUCACCAAGGCGACGAUGCGUAGCCGACCUGAGAGGGUGAUCGGCCACACUGGGACUGAGACACGGCCCAGACUCCUACGGGAGGCAGCAGUAGGGAAUCUUCCGCAAUGGACG
Molecule: ribosomal RNA, 361 nt
Filed under: uncultured bacterium
Lineage: Bacteria
Description: bacterial SSU rRNA
Rfam family: Bacterial small subunit ribosomal RNA
Source: RNAcentral